This 317-nucleotide ribosomal RNA is filed under the name Klebsiella pneumoniae. Its description in RNAcentral is "partial 23S ribosomal RNA". It matches the Rfam family "Bacterial large subunit ribosomal RNA", at positions 1518 to 1841 of the family's 2925-position model. Lineage: Bacteria; Pseudomonadati; Pseudomonadota; Gammaproteobacteria; Enterobacterales; Enterobacteriaceae. The record is from RNAcentral.
AGUGAGGUGUGAAUUGAGUCAAAUGCUUAAUUCUAUAACAUUGAGCUGUGAUGGGGAGCGAAGUUUAGUAGCGAAGUUAGUGACGUCACACUGCCAAGAAAAGCUUCUAGCGUUUAAACAUACUCUACCCGUACCGCAAACCGACACAGGUAGUCGAGGCGAGUAGCCUCAGGUGAGCGAGAGAACUCUCGUUAAGGAACUCGGCAAAAUGACCCCGUAACUUCGGGAGAAGGGGUGCUGACUUAAAGUCAGCCGCAGUGAAUAGGCCCAAGCAACUGUUUAUCAAAAACACAGCUCUCUGCUAAAUCGUAAGAUGA